This 446-nucleotide ribosomal RNA is filed under the name uncultured bacterium. RNAcentral describes it as "partial 16S ribosomal RNA". It matches the Rfam family "Bacterial small subunit ribosomal RNA", at positions 329 to 793 of the family's 1533-position model. The record is from RNAcentral.
GUCCAGACUCCUACGGGAGGCAGCAGUGGGGGAUAUUGCACAAUGGGGGGAACCCUGAUGCAGCGACGCCGCGUGGGUGAAGAAGUCAUUCGUGACGUAAAGCCCUAUCAGCAGGGAAGAAAAUGACGGUACCUGACUAAGAAGCCCCGGCUAACUACGUGCCAGCAGCCGCGGUAAUACGUAGGGGGCAAGCGUUAUCCGGAUUUACUGGGUGUAAAGGGAGCGUAGACGGCACGGCAAGCCGGCGGUCAAAUCGCGGGGCUCAACCCCGCCCAGCCGUCGGAACUGCCGGGCUAGAGUGGGCGAGAAGUGCGCGGAAUGCGUGGUGUAGCGGUGAAAUGCAUAGAUAUCACGCAGAACUCCGAUUGCGAAGGCAGCGCACCGGCGCCCUACUGACGCUCAGGCACGAAAGCGUGGGUAUCGAACAGGAUUAGAUACCCUUGUAU